UCGGGGUACACGAGCGGCGAACGGGUGAGUAACACGUGGGUGAUCUGCCCUGCACUUCGGGAUAAGCCUGGGAAACUGGGUCUAAUACCGGAUAUGACCUCCUAUCGCAUGGUGGGUGGUGGAAAGAUUUAUCGGUGCAGGAUGGGCCCGCGGCCUAUCAGCUUGUUGGUGGGGUAAUGGCCUACCAAGGCGACGACGGGUAGCCGACCUGAGAGGGUGACCGGCCACACUGGGACUGAGACACGGCCCAGACUCCUACGGGAGGCAGCAGUGGGGAAUAUUGCACAAUGGGCGAAAGCCUGAUGCAGCGACGCCGCGUGAGGGAUGACGGCCUUCGGGUUGUAAACCUCUUUCAGCAGGGACGAAGCGCAAGUGACGGUACCUGCAGAAGAAGCACCGGCUAACUACGUGCCAGCAGCCGCGGUAAUACGUAGGGUGCAAGCGUUGUCCGGAAUUACUGGGCGUAAAGAGUUCGUAGGCGGUUUGUCGCGUCGUUUGUGAAAACCAGCAGCUCAACUGCUGGCUUGCAGGCGAUACGGGCAGACUUGAGUACUGCAGGGGAGACUGGAAUUCCUGGUGUAGCGGUGAAAUGCGCAGAUAUCAGGAGGAACACCGGUGGCGAAGGCGGGUCUCUGGGCAGUAACUGACGCUGAGGAACGAAAGCGUGGGUAGCGAACAGGAUUAGAUACCCUGGUAGUCCACGCCGUAAACGGUGGGCGCUAGGUGUGGGUUCCUUCCACGGAAUCCGUGCCGUAGCUAACGCAUUAAGCGCCCCGCCUGGGGAGUACGGCCGCAAGGCUAAAACUCAAAGGAAUUGACG
Molecule: ribosomal RNA, 820 nt
Filed under: uncultured bacterium
Lineage: Bacteria
Description: bacterial SSU rRNA
Rfam family: Bacterial small subunit ribosomal RNA
Source: RNAcentral